GGGAUGAGUUUGCGGACCAUUAGCUGGUUGGUGGGGUAAUGGCCCACCAAGGCGAUGAUGGUUAGCUGGUCUGAGAGGAUGAUCAGCCACACUGGAACUGGAACACGGUCCAGACUCCUACGGGAGGCAGCAGUGAGGGAUUUUGCGCAAUGGGGGGAACCCUGACGCAGCAACGCCGCGUGAGUGAAGAAGGCCUUUGGGUCGUAAAGCUCUGUCAAUCGGGAAGAAGUUAUUUAGGUCGAACAGGCGUAAGUAUUGACGGUACCGAUGAAGGAAGCAUCGGCUAACUCCGUGCCAGCAGCCGCGGUAAUACGGGGGAUGCAAGCGUUAUUCGGAAUUAUUGGGCGUAAAGGGCGCGUAGGCGGUUUUGUCGGUCAGAUGUGAAAGCCCGGGGCUCAACCCUGGAAGCGCAUUUGAAACAGCAAGACUUGAGUACGGGAGAGGAAAGCGGAAUUCCUGGUGUAGAGGUGAAAUUCGUAGAUAUCAGGAGGAACACCGAUGGCGAAGGCAGCUUUUCUGGACCGAUACUUGACGCUGAGGCGCGAAGGCGUGGGGUAGCGAACAGGAUUUAGAUACCCUGGUAGUCCACGCAGUAAACGAUGU
Molecule: ribosomal RNA, 603 nt
Filed under: uncultured delta proteobacterium
Lineage: Bacteria; Deltaproteobacteria
Description: bacterial SSU rRNA
Rfam family: Bacterial small subunit ribosomal RNA
Source: RNAcentral